GUUUAUUAAGUUGGGGGUGAAAUCUCCGGGCUCAACCCGGAGCUCGUUCUCAAAACUGGUAGACUUGAGUAAGGUAGAGGCUGACGGAAUUCUGCAAGUAGGGGUAAAAUCCGUUGAUCUGCAGAGGAACACCAAAAGCGAAGGCAGUCAGCUGGGCCUUUACUGACGCUGAGGGACGAAAGCGUGGGUAGCGAACGGGAUUAGAUACCCCGGUAGUCCACGCCGUAAAUGAUGGAUACUGGACAUUGGUACUCGAUCGUAUCAGUGUCUCAAGCUAACGCAUUAAGUAUCCCGCCUGGGGAGUACGGUCGCAAGAUUAAAACUCAAAGGAAUAGACGGGGACCCACACAAGCGGUGGAGCAUGUGGUUUAAUUCGACAAUAAGCGAGGAACCUUACCAGGGCUUGACAUCCCGAGAAUUCUUUAGAAAUAGAGAAGUGCCUUUAUGGAACUCGGUGACAGGUGCUGCAUGGUUGUCGUCAGCUCGUGCCUUGAGGUGUUCGGUUAAGUCCGUAAACGAGCGCAACCCUAGUCCUAUGUUGUAUAUUUCAUAGGAGACUGCCUUGUCCAACGAGGAGGAAGGUUAGGAUGACGUCAAAUCAGCAUGGCCCUUAUGUCCUGGGCGACACACGUGCUACAAUGGUCGGUACAAUGGGUAGCCAACCCGCGAGGGGGAGCCAAUCCCAUCAAAGCCGGUCCAAGUUCGGAUUGGAGGCUGCAACUCGCCUCCAUGAAG
RNAcentral lists this ribosomal RNA (735 nucleotides) under uncultured Microgenomates group bacterium. RNAcentral describes it as "bacterial SSU rRNA". It matches the Rfam family "Bacterial small subunit ribosomal RNA", at positions 578 to 1325 of the family's 1533-position model. The record is from RNAcentral.